RNAcentral lists this ribosomal RNA (437 nucleotides) under uncultured bacterium. RNAcentral describes it as "bacterial SSU rRNA". It matches the Rfam family "Bacterial small subunit ribosomal RNA", at positions 28 to 462 of the family's 1533-position model. The record is from RNAcentral.
GAUGAACGCUGGCGGCGUGCUUAACACAUGCAAGUCGAGCGAUGAAGUUUCCUUCGGGAAACGGAUUAGCGGCGGMCGGGUGAGUAACACGUGGGUAACCUGCCUCAUAGAGUGGGAUAGCCUUCCGAAAGGAAGAUUAAUACCGCAUAACGUUGAAAGAUGGCAUCAUCAUUCAACCAAAGGAGCAAUCCGCUAUGAGAUGGACCCGCGGCGCAUUAGCUAGUUGGUGGGGUAAUGGCCUACCAAGGCGACGAUGCGUAGCYGACCUGAGAGGGUGAUCGGCCACAUUGGGACUGAGACACGGCCCAGACUCCUACGGGAGGCAGCAGUGGGGAAUAUUGCACAAKGGGGGAAACCCKGAUGCAGCAACGCCGCGKGAGUGAUGAAGGUUUUCGGAUCGUAAAGCUCUGUCUUUGGGGAAGAUAAUGACGKACCCA